This 254-nucleotide ribosomal RNA is filed under the name uncultured bacterium. RNAcentral's name for it is "partial 16S ribosomal RNA". It matches the Rfam family "Bacterial small subunit ribosomal RNA", at positions 524 to 776 of the family's 1533-position model. The record is from RNAcentral.
UACGUAGGGUGCGAGCGUUGUCCGGAAUUAUUGGGCGUAAAGAGCUCGUAGGCGGUGUGUCACGUCGUUCGUGAAAACCUGCAGCUUAACUGUGGGCGUGCGGUCGAUACGGGCAUCACUGGAGUUCGGCAGGGGAGACUGGAAUUCCUGGUGUAGCGGUGAAAUGCGCAGAUAUCAGGAGGAACACCGGUGGCGAAGGCGGGUCUCUGGGCCACAACUGACGCUGAGGGACGAAAGCUAGGGGAGCGAAAGGG